RNAcentral lists this non-coding RNA (953 nucleotides) under Rachycentron canadum (cobia). RNAcentral's name for it is "12S ribosomal RNA". It matches the Rfam family "Bacterial small subunit ribosomal RNA". Lineage: Eukaryota; Metazoa; Chordata; Actinopteri; Carangiformes; Rachycentridae. The record is from RNAcentral.
CAAAGGCUUGGUCCUGGCUUUACUGUCAGCUCUAGCUAUACUUACACAUGCAAGUAUCCGCGCCCCGGUGAGGAUGCCCUUAAUUCCCCUGCCCGGGGAUAAGGAGCUGGUAUCAGGCACACAUUCUUUAGCCCACGACACCUUGCUUAGCCACACCCCCAAGGGACCCCAGCAGUGAUAAAUCUUAAGCUAUAAGUGAAAACUUGACUUAGUUAAAGCUAAUUAGAGCCGGUAAACUUCGUGCCAGCCACCGCGGUUAGACGAAUGGCUCAAGUUGACAAAAUACGGCGUAAAGAGUGGUUAGGGAAUACUAAAACUAAAGCUGAAUACCUUCCAAGCUGUUAUACGCUUAUGAAGCGAAUGAAGCCCAACUACGAAAGUGGCUUUAUUACACCUGAACCCACGAAAGCUAAGAAACAAACUGGGAUUAGAUACCCCACUAUGCUUAGCCUUAAACAUUGAUCAUUUAUUACAUAAAACAUCCGCCUGGAAAUUACGAACGUCAGUUUAAAACCCAAAGGACUUGGCGGUGCUUAACAUCCACCUAGAGGAGCCUGUCCUAUAACCGAUAACCCCCGUUCAACCUCACCUUUUCUUGUAAUUUCAGCCUAUAUACCACCGUCGCCAGCUUACCCUGUGAAGGAUUAGUAGUAAGCACAAUUGGCAAUGCCCAGUACGUCAGGUCGAGGUGUAGCAUAUGAAAAGGGAAGAGAUGGGCUACAUUCGCUAAAAAUAGUGAAUACGAAUAAUACAUUGAAACAUGUAUCUGAAGGAGGAUUUAGCAGUAAGUUGGAAAUAGAGUGUCCCACUGAAGCCGGCUCUUAAGCGUGCACAUACCGCCCGUCACCCUCACCGAGCCCCACUUGUUUAUUUAACUAAACCAACAUAUUUUUAUGCUAAGGAGAGGAAAGUCGUAACAUGGUAAGCGUACCGGAAGGUGUGCUUGGAUAAUC